Molecule: transfer RNA, 74 nt
Filed under: Oscillospiraceae bacterium
Lineage: Bacteria; Bacillati; Bacillota; Clostridia; Eubacteriales; Oscillospiraceae
Description: tRNA-Gly
Rfam family: tRNA
About the family: Transfer RNA (tRNA) molecules are approximately 80 nucleotides in length.
Source: RNAcentral
GCCGUCAUUAUGUAGCGGUAGCAUCUCUGCCUUCCAAGCAGAUAGGGCGGGUUCGAAUCCCGUUGACGGCUCCA